Molecule: ribosomal RNA, 425 nt
Filed under: uncultured bacterium
Lineage: Bacteria
Description: bacterial SSU rRNA
Rfam family: Bacterial small subunit ribosomal RNA
Source: RNAcentral
GGGAAUCUUCCACAAUGGACGAAAGUCUGAUGGAGCAACGCCGCGUGAGUGAAGAAGGUUUUAGGAUCGUAAAACUCUGUUGUUGGAGAAGAACAGGGACUAGAGUAACUGUUAGUCCUUUGACGGUAUCCAACCAGAAAGCCACGGCUAACUACGUGCCAGCAGCCGCGGUAAUACGUAGGUGGCAAGCGUUGUCCCGAUUUAUUGGGCGUAAAGCGAGCGCAGGCGGUUUUUUAAGUCUGAUGUGAAAGCCUUCGGCUUAACCGAAGAAGUGCAUUAGAAACUGGAAAACUUGAGUGCAGAAGAGGACAGUGGAACUCCAUGUGUAGCGGUGAAAUGCGUAGAUAUAUGGAAGAACACCAGUGGCGAAGGCGGCUGUCUGGUCUGUAACUGACGCUGAGGCUCGAAAGUAUGGGGAGCGAACA